RNAcentral lists this ribosomal RNA (159 nucleotides) under uncultured bacterium. RNAcentral's name for it is "partial 16S ribosomal RNA". It matches the Rfam family "Bacterial small subunit ribosomal RNA", at positions 1340 to 1500 of the family's 1533-position model. The record is from RNAcentral.
AAUCGCGGAUCAGCAUGCCGCGGUGAAUACGUUCUCGGGCCUUGUACACACCGCCCGUCACACCAUGGGAGUCGGUAACACCCGAAGUCUGUAGCCUGACGCAAGAGGGCGCAGCCGAAGGUGGGAUUGAUGACUGGGGUGAAGUCGUAACAAGGUACC